UGGGGAAUAUUGGACAAUGGGCGAAAGCCUGAUCCAGCCAUGCCGCGUGUGUGAAGAAGGUCUUCGGAUUGUAAAGCACUUUAAGUUGGGAGGAAGGGCAUUAACCUAAUACGUUAGUGUUUUCACGUUACCGACAGAAUAAGCACCGGCUAACUCUGUGCCAGCAGCCGCGGUAAUACAGAGGGUGCAAGCGUUAAUCGGAAUUACUGGGCGUAAAGCGCGCGUAGGUGGUUUGUUAAGUUGGAUGUGAAAUCCCCGGGCUCAACCUGGGAACUGCAUUCAAAACUGACUGACUAGAGUAUGGUAGAGGGUGGUGGAAUUUCCUGUGUAGCGGUGAAAUGCGUAGAUAUAGGAAGGAACACCAGUGGCGAAGGCGACCACCUGGACUAAUACUGACACUGAGGUGCGAAAGCGUGGGGAGCAAACA
This 427-nucleotide ribosomal RNA is filed under the name uncultured bacterium. RNAcentral describes it as "partial 16S ribosomal RNA". It matches the Rfam family "Bacterial small subunit ribosomal RNA", at positions 355 to 774 of the family's 1533-position model. The record is from RNAcentral.